GAGUUUGAUCAUGGCUCAGAACGAACGCUGGCGGCAGGCUUAACACAUGCAAGUCGAACGCCCCGCAAGGGGGAGUGGGCAGACGGGUGAGUAACGCGUGGGAAUCUACCCAGUUCUACGGAACAACUGAGGGAAACUUCAGCUAAUACCGUAUACGCCCUACGGGGGAAAGAUUUAUCGGAAUUGGAUGAGCCCGCGUUGGAUUAGCUAGUUGGUGAGGUAACGGCUCACCAAGGCGACGAUCCAUAGCUGGUCUGAGAGGAUGAUCAGCCACACUGGGACUGAGACACGGCCCAGACUCCUACGGGAGGCAGGCAGUGGGGAAUAUUGGACAAUGGGCGCAAGCCUGAUCCAGCCAUGCCGCGUGAGUGAUGAAGGCCUUAGGGUUGUAAA
RNAcentral lists this ribosomal RNA (393 nucleotides) under uncultured Alphaproteobacteria bacterium. RNAcentral's name for it is "bacterial SSU rRNA". It matches the Rfam family "Bacterial small subunit ribosomal RNA", at positions 9 to 429 of the family's 1533-position model. Lineage: Bacteria; Pseudomonadati; Pseudomonadota; Alphaproteobacteria. The record is from RNAcentral.